AAUAACAACAUAAUUUCAAGGGGAAAUCAGCAACAGAUAAUUAAAUGCUGACAGAGGAGAGUUUAUUGAAAAUUGCUGAUGGACGCAAAAUUGUGUUACUCAAAAUCACGCAAAUUGAAAUAAGUUUGUUCCACAUGAUGGCCCACUUACAUUUUCUUUGAUACAACAAGGGUUGUAUGUUCAACGUCUAAAACUACUGAAUCCCACGCUGCAGUCACGAAUGCUUUUAUAUGAUCCCUCGCUGAAAUCUUUGGUUGUUAGUUUACUUCGCUGCCCAAACCCGCUCGCGCGCUGGCUUGUUGACAAGUCGCUGGCCGAAGAACCCCAGCGGCCUCGGUGUAUCAAAUGGCUUUUUAUUGGGCUUGCGCCGCUGACGUAAAUUUAUGUAGGUCAGGCACAGCUUUUAUUAUUUGCACUGGUAUGUUGGGUAUUGGUUUUACACAGCGCGAAGUGUCUAUUACGGGUAGACUAGUUCUUUUCACUGCACAGCACACAAAGUAUUUAUAGAAUAAAAUGGUCCGAUAAACGUUGGGCGCCAAUUAAUAUUUAAA
Non-coding RNA from Drosophila virilis, 551 nucleotides. NCBI's taxonomy places the organism in Eukaryota, Metazoa, Arthropoda, Insecta, Diptera, Drosophilidae. The record is from RefSeq and is a predicted model, not a curated record.